AUGUUGUAUGACAGGAGGGAAUGUUAGAUCUCCCCUUGAAAAGGACGGAAGAAGCCCUUGGGCCCAUACAGCACAUGUGUGGUUAAGAUAUCACUAUGUACUUUGUGGCAUCUAACCAUGGGUUUUC
Ailuropoda melanoleuca (giant panda) is the source of this 127-nucleotide small nuclear RNA. The record is from Ensembl. Lineage: Eukaryota; Metazoa; Chordata; Mammalia; Carnivora; Ursidae.